RNAcentral lists this ribosomal RNA (320 nucleotides) under uncultured eukaryote. RNAcentral's name for it is "partial 18S ribosomal RNA". It matches the Rfam family "Eukaryotic small subunit ribosomal RNA", at positions 1470 to 1796 of the family's 1831-position model. The record is from RNAcentral.
CCCCUAGAUGUUCUGGGCCGCACGCGCGCUACACUGAACAGUUCAACAAUUCUUAACCUUGGCCGAUAGGUCUGGGUAAUCUUUGAACGCUGUUCGUGAUUGGGAUAGACCUUUGCAAUUAUGGGUCUUCAACGAGGAAUUCCUAGUAAACGCAAGUCAUCAGCUUGCAUUGAUUACGUCCCUGCCCUUUGUACACACCGCCCGUCGCACCUACCGAUUGAAUGGUCCGGUGAAAUCUCGGGACGGCGGCUUGGUCGCUUGCGUCCGACUGCUGAAACUUGAUUAAACCAUAUCAUUUAGAGGAAGGUGAAGUCGUAACA